AAGAGGGAGGAAGGCUUAAGCCCAGGAGUUCAAGACCAGCCUGGGCAACAUAGUGAGAACCCAUCUCUACAACAGCAAUAAAAAAUUAGCUAGGCAUGGUGGUGCAUACCUGUGGUCCCAGCUACUUGGGAGGCGGAGGUGGGAGGAUUGCUUGAGUACAGGAGUUUGAGUUUAUAGUUAACUAUUAUUGGUCCACUGCACUCUAACCAGGAUGACAGAGUGAGAAAAGUAUUUAAAAUGUUCAUCAACUUUGACUUAAUUUCACUUAAAGGAUAUAUCCUUAAGAAUCAAUUUGACAAGUUGUCUUUUUAUAGUUCAUAAGUGUGAUGAUUGGGUUUUUAUGCUCUUGUAUGUGAUGCCCCUCUCCUCAAAUCUUGUCAUGAUGUUGGCACAUUACCCAUCUGAUGUUAAAAAAGAAUCAACUGGACAAGGAAACAAAGAUAUUCAAAGUAAUGUUAUCUAUAAUACAGAUUGGAAACUGUCUUUGUAGGUUGUUGAAUAGGCAGUAAGCAGAAUAAAUCAGCAUAUACCUUUCCAUUAAAAUACUAUGCAGGCAGGCUGGGCACAGUGGCUCACUCCUGUAAUCCCAGCACUUUUGGAGGCUGAGGUGGGUGGAUCAUGAGGUCAGGAGAUC
Molecule: long non-coding RNA, 634 nt
Filed under: Homo sapiens (human)
Lineage: Eukaryota; Metazoa; Chordata; Mammalia; Primates; Hominidae
Description: HSALNT0041884
Rfam family: Small nucleolar RNA U13 (bases 303-407)
Source: RNAcentral